CUACGGGUCGCACCAGUAAGGAAUAUUGCGCAAUGGAGGCAACCCUGACGCAGCCAUGCCGCGUGCAGGAAGAAGGCCUUAUGGGUCGUAAACUGCUUUUAUUUAGGAAUAAACCCCCGAACGUGUUCGGGGCUGAAGGUACUAAACGAAUAAGCACCGGCUAACUCCGUGCCAGCAGCCGCGGUAAUACGGAGGGUGCAAGCGUUAUCCGGAUUUAUUGGGUUUAAAGGGUGCGCAGGCGGGCUAUUAAGUCAGUGGUGAAAUCCCGGGGCUCAACUCCGGAACUGCCAUUGAUACUGAUAGUCUUGAGUUUGGUUGAAGUGGGCGGAAUGUAGCAUGUAGUGGUGAAAUGCAUAGAUAUGCUACAGAACACCAAUCGCGAAGGCAGCUCACUAAGCCAAAACUGACGCUCAUGCACGAAAGCGUGGGGAUCAAACAGGAUUAGAUACCCGCGUAGUC
Molecule: ribosomal RNA, 459 nt
Filed under: uncultured bacterium
Lineage: Bacteria
Description: partial 16S ribosomal RNA
Rfam family: Bacterial small subunit ribosomal RNA
Source: RNAcentral